This is a long non-coding RNA of Mesocricetus auratus (golden hamster), 1124 nucleotides long. RefSeq lists it as uncharacterized. The transcript is spliced from 3 exons. NCBI's taxonomy places the organism in Eukaryota, Metazoa, Chordata, Mammalia, Rodentia, Cricetidae. The record is from RefSeq and is a predicted model, not a curated record.
CCCACCCCCCGCGCGCACGCCACAGCCAGCUCUCCUCCCUGCCGGAUCGGCCUGGGGGCAGGGGUCCGGCGUGCGAGCUGCAGACAAGCAUGGGAACGCGGACCCCGAUCCUGCACCGCGGAGCUGCAGCCUCCCGGCCGCCCGCCCUCCUCGCCGGCCCAGGGGCCAGGGCUAGGCGCGAGGAGUCCCCGGGGGCACGACGCACUCACCAUAGCCGGCCUCAGCCCCUGGCCGGAGCGCAGCAGCUGCCGAUGGCGCAGACGCUGGCCGUGAGGACAUACCCAGAGGAAUAAUUCCCAAAGUGAAGAUUUCAGAGGGGAGGCCAGAUGGAGACUGAAGACAUCAGAGAAGAAAGGCUUUUGAAGCAGGAAAUGAACCACUGAUCGACCAGAAGAUGCAUUGAAAGACUGAAGGAAAUUGCUUAGACAACAAGGACAAAAAGAAGGAAAACAAGAUUGCCAACUGACAAAGCCAUGGUGUGGUGUGAAUAGAAAAUCUAAGACAAGUAGCUUGGAAAGGAGGGAGUGGAGAGAAUCCUGGGGUCACAUAAAGCGAAGGCUCCAUGGAACCUCGAUGCUGAAGAGGAGGAAGGCAUUUGCAGUAGGCGAAAGAAUCCCGCGGUAAUUUCAAAGCAAGAAGAAGCCAGUGGGGCUAGAAAUGUGACUCAGUGGAUGGGUGCUUGCCUAGCAUGAACAAAGCCUGACUCCGAUCUGCACACAGUACAGCAUCAACUGAGCCUAGUGGCAUAUGCCUGUAACUCCAGCAUGAGGCUGAAGGCCUGUCCCACCAUCUCCUAGAAAACCAUACACACUUUCGAAAAGCUAAUACAUUCUCUAGGAAUGCUGGUUAUUAAAAAAAAAAAAAAAGGCUCCGGGCACCCAGCACAACAUUUUAAACCCCAAAAUUACAUAUGUAUAUAUACACACAUAUAUAUGCGAAAAUUAAUUAUUCACCAUCACCCUCCCCAUCCAAGUUCUGUAGAAUCAUAAUUUCAGACAUGGGCAUAAAUAUUUUUCUUGGUUUUGAUUUUUGAUUUUCGAGACAGGGUUUUCUCUGUAUUGCUUUGGAGGAGGUGGUCCUGGAACUCACUUUGUAGACCAGGCUGGCCUCGAACUCACAGAGAU